This 141-nucleotide microRNA precursor is filed under the name Linum usitatissimum (flax). Its description in RNAcentral is "miR167h stem-loop (lus-MIR167h)". Its record names the gene lus-MIR167h. It matches the Rfam family "MIR167 microRNA precursor family". Lineage: Eukaryota; Viridiplantae; Streptophyta; Magnoliopsida; Malpighiales; Linaceae. The record is from miRBase by way of RNAcentral.
UUGUCCACAAGGGAAGCAGUGAAGCUGCCAGCAUGAUCUAGCUUUGGCUAGUUUGCAACGAAAGUAAAAUGAGAUAGUAGUAGUGAGCUAGCCCUAGCUAGGUCAUGCUAUGACAGCCUCAUUCCUUCCCAAUGUGGGGGA